GCUUGUGGAUUUUGUAUUAUUUUGCCUUAGCUUUCACAUUUUGACCUAAUUGCGUAAAGUACAUUUUUUGUGUGUGUUUGUAUUCUUCUAGUGAAUCCAGAACAGGCAACAGACAGUAGCCAUGAGCCUGAGGAGGCUACUGUCAUUCUAAAUGUUGAAAUAACGAACCCAUUAAGAGAACAAGAUUCAGUAGCCACAAUAUCCGUGGACCAGGGGACUGUUGCUGUGGCUGAUCAACCUCCUACUGGACAAGAUUUGACAAGUGGCAUGACUUUGGACCAGGGGGCUGGGACUGAGGGUGGUCCAGAAUUGUUGCUAAGCUUUCCUCCUACAGUACAAGGUU
Pimephales promelas (fathead minnow) is the source of this 343-nucleotide non-coding RNA. Lineage: Eukaryota; Metazoa; Chordata; Actinopteri; Cypriniformes; Leuciscidae. The record is from RefSeq and is a predicted model, not a curated record.